Cimex lectularius (bed bug) is the source of this 1126-nucleotide long non-coding RNA. RefSeq lists it as uncharacterized. The transcript is spliced from 2 exons. The record is from RefSeq and is a predicted model, not a curated record. NCBI's taxonomy places the organism in Eukaryota, Metazoa, Arthropoda, Insecta, Hemiptera, Cimicidae.
GGUCAUUUCACGCCUUUUAUUUAUGUUAUUUCUCAUUGUUGCCUCUUUUAUUUAACACAUUCAUUGCAGUCGUCGUCAGAACCAAUGCACUAAACCCUCACUAUAUACGGAUGUCAUUCCAGAACGACACAGCUCUUUUAGAAAAAACCCAUUUCAAAGCUUUCUGUAGAAUGUUGGGGUAUUUUUGGAAUUGAAUCGGUGUCACAUGCCUUUAGUAUCUCUUUGGCAAAGUUACUGUGAAGACUGUAAAUGAUGGUUCUACUCAUAAAUUUGUUGUUUAAACAUCUGGAUUUCAAGCAUUAAAUGCUCAUCAUUGGGUUGAAGGAGUUGUUUAAUGCUUGAAAUCCGGAUUGUUGUAAACAACAAAUCUGUGUGUAGAAUCAUUUUAUUAUCAUAAACACAAAUUUUCGAUUUGCAUUUUUUAAACGAUUUUUUGAACAAGAAUAAAUUAAUCUAAAUUUUUGCCAUAUCUUGGCAGAGUGAACAAGUUAAUCAAAACAUAUUUUGAAGAUCACAUGUUUCGGAUCAUGAAACAAGUACUUUUUUAUGGUUUAUUCAAUGAAAUUUUCAGGUACUUGUAACCAAAUUUAAUCAACAAUACAUGAAUCAUUUUGUUGUACUAUUUAGUACCUAUUGCCAUCUUCCAUGUAAUUUUGUCCUCCCAGAACUUUAGGUUUUAAUGAUGUUUUCUGCAAUCCUCACAUUGUUUCUUUCAUUAAUUAGGCAAGACCCAGAAUAAGUGAAAUUCUGAAAUACCAGGCGAAUACGCUGGGUUAGGGAGCAUAUCCCAGCCUAGAUCCAUCAAAUUCAGCUUUUGGAGUUUAGUAGACACUGCUACUGUUUUCUUCUCUAAACAAAGGACUCACUUUGCACACCCAGAGAGCAGCUGGAUAUGUUAAUUGACUCAAAAUUCAUAAUUAACAGCCAUUUAUGCUGGGAUUGGAAAUUGACAUUUCAUUGCAGGUAACAGUUUCCAGGCAACGUUCAGCUUGCAGCAAGGUGAAACAUGACUUUUUCACCAUCCCGACUUAUUGGACCUGAUAGAGCCCGCCCUAUACUUACUAUGGAUGUGCACUCGCUCCCUUGCUACUUUACUUACAUUAAAUAAACAAUUUCUGUCACUUUC